This is a non-coding RNA of Dracunculus medinensis (Guinea worm), 154 nucleotides long. The record is from Rfam. NCBI's taxonomy places the organism in Eukaryota, Metazoa, Nematoda, Chromadorea, Rhabditida, Dracunculidae.
CAUUCUUAGCGAUGGAUCACUCGGCUCGUGGAUCGAUGAAGAACGCGGCCAACCGCGAUAACUAGUGCGAAUUGCAGACACGUUGAGCACUAAAAUUUUGAACGCAAAUUGCGCUAAUAGGUUCGUUCCUAUUGGCACGUCUGGUUGAGGGUCU